Molecule: ribosomal RNA, 491 nt
Filed under: uncultured bacterium
Lineage: Bacteria
Description: partial 16S ribosomal RNA
Rfam family: Bacterial small subunit ribosomal RNA
Source: RNAcentral
AGUGAACGCUGGCGGUAGGCCUAACACAUGCAAGUCGAACGGCAGCACAGUAAGAGCUUGCUCUUACGGGUGGCGAGUGGCGGACGGGUGAGGAAUACAUCGGAAUCUACUUUUUCGUGGGGGAUAACGUAGGGAAACUUACGCUAAUACCGCAUACGACCUACGGGUGAAAGCAGGGGAUCUUCGGACCUUGCGCGAUUGAAUGAGCCGAUGUCGGAUUAGCUAGUUGGCGGGUAAAGGCCCACCAAGGCGACGAUCCGUAGCUGGUCUGAGAGGAUGAUCAGCCACACUGGAACUGAGACACGGUCCAGACUCCUACGGGAGGCAGCAGUGGGGAAUAUUGGACAAAGGGCGCAAGCCUGAUCCAGCCAUACCGCGUGGGUGAAGAAGGCCUUCGGGUUGUAAAGCCCUUUUGUUGGGAAAGAAAAGCAGCAGGUUAAUACCCCGCUGUUCUGACGGUACCCAAAGAAUAAGCACCGGCUAACUUCGUG